ACGUUGAAUAUAGAGCGGUCAAGUGUGUUAAGCGCUUCACAGUACUAUAUAGAGCGGUUAUCCAUGGAGACAGUUUCAUAUUAAAAAGAAUACAGAGCGCCUAGGAGAAUUAGCUGUUACAUAUGUUUUUACCCUAACAAUACAAAAAAGAGCUAAUAACAUAUAGAGCAGUGGUACAAAACCGUGUACUAUAUACCAACUAAAAAAAAAUAAAAAAAAUAAUAAUAACUUUACCAAAUUUGCUCGCAAUCUCCUAAAUUGAUCAAAACUCAAACUUUGUCUCUCGCGCAAUACCCAUCCAAUUAACCUAAUUAUUUAGUCUUUGUCUCUUUUCUACUCCGUAUUACUCGCAAACUGCUAUCACCAUUAAUUCACCACCGCUGCUUGAUCUCACGCCGACCCUAAACUGUGCACCACCACCACCGCCGUCAAGGUUGUACGGCCACCGCACGCGACGCUCCACCGCUUUGAAUUUCGAGCUCCUCCCACGUAUUCUCAAAAACUGAUCGACGAGCUAAGGGAGAUAUGGAUCUCAUAUGUUACCGGAUAUCACCAUUCAAAUAACGAUGAAGAUGAUGAUGAUAUGAUCUAUAUAUGUGAGUUGGGCUAGCUCAACGGAUGAUUUUAGUUUACAAACUAUUUUUGUAUUUUUUUUUGACAUUAGAAUGGUCUUUGAUUUUAUUUUGGUUGUACCUUAUAUGAAUCAUUUUGUCAAUGAAUAAUAGAAUUUUAUAAUUGAAUGACAGAAAUUGGGGAUGAA
Spinacia oleracea (spinach) is the source of this 760-nucleotide long non-coding RNA. RefSeq lists it as uncharacterized. The transcript has 2 exons. Lineage: Eukaryota; Viridiplantae; Streptophyta; Magnoliopsida; Caryophyllales; Amaranthaceae. The record is from RefSeq and is a predicted model, not a curated record.